AGGUCCAAAACUCAACGGAGGUAUAAAGCUGAUGAGUCAUUCAAUGAAGUUAUGGGAAAAAGUUGUUGAAGCCAGACUGAGGUCAGAAGUGGACAUCUGUGAGCAGCAGGAUGGUUUCAUGCCAAGAAAAUGUACUACAGAUGCAAUCUUUGCAU
This is a long non-coding RNA of Poecilia latipinna (sailfin molly), 155 nucleotides long. RefSeq lists it as uncharacterized. The record is from RefSeq and is a predicted model, not a curated record. NCBI's taxonomy places the organism in Eukaryota, Metazoa, Chordata, Actinopteri, Cyprinodontiformes, Poeciliidae. The transcript has 3 exons.